Long non-coding RNA from Rhincodon typus (whale shark), 1647 nucleotides. RefSeq lists it as uncharacterized. The record is from RefSeq and is a predicted model, not a curated record. The transcript has 2 exons. Lineage: Eukaryota; Metazoa; Chordata; Chondrichthyes; Orectolobiformes; Rhincodontidae.
CCGCCACGCGCUUGUUAGUCUGCACGCCUUUCGGAGAACAAACUCAUUCGGCGCUGGGACGCCGAUGAGAGAGGAGGGUCUACUCUUUCACUGUUGACCUGUUAGACACCCACAGUUUUAAGUCACUCGAUCGUUGGUGGCUGUGCCUUCGGCUGCUUGGGCUCUGAUGUCUGGAAUUCCUCUACAAUCUCCUUUAAGAUACUUUUAAAACCUGACAGUGUCUCACGAUGUCAACUUUGUUUGAUAAUAUUCUUCUGAAGCGUCUUUGAAUAUUUACUGCGAAUUGAUAUAAGGUCUACAAGACUUAGACCUAAAUGAUCUCAAGAGAAAUGAUAUAUUUAAUUGGUAUGUUUGGAGGAAGUGGUAAGACGUUGAUCAACUAUUUUAUAUACGGGAAGAUAUACCACUGUACACUUAGUGAAAUAUCUACAUAGCUAUCUUCCCCUUCCAUUCAGAAUGUUUACUUGCAGAUUCUUCAGUGCCUUUGUCCUAUCAAGAAGCAGGAAUGUUAAAAAUGACUCAGUAAAAUAGUGAUUAUAGAAGGUGGUAAUAUGAGAGAAAACAGUGCUAAAGGACAACAAGUCAAAUAUCAUUCGAAAGAAAAUCUAGGUUAUUGUCAGACUGGAAUUCUUGAUCCAACCUGAUUCAGAUUUGGAAUUGCAGCAACUCAAUAUGCAUAAAUAGAGCUGUAAUGUUUUUAAUGACCUUGUUAUCUUUGUUUACUUUCUUUUUUCUGCUUUUGCGGUUUGUAUAGAAUAAAUAUGUAAGACCAGUCUCCAUUAGAUGCACAAGAUGGAUAUUAAUUAAGAUGCUACUUUCCAUCAAAAUAUUUUUUACUUACAAACAUAUCACAGAAACUCAUCUUUUGAAACUGUAACCCUCUCCUGAUUUGAGCUGUUGAAAGAUUGAGUAAAUGAUCAAUGCUUUCACUUGCCACUUUCAUUUUCCACUUUCCUAUUGAUGCAAAUGGGAAAAGGCUUCUGUUGUAGUUUAAUUCAGCAGCAGUGUGGUGAACCUUAAACAUAAUUAUUAUUGAUCACACUUGAGAGUUAUUGACUUUUUUUUAAUCAAAAGAUAAUUGAUUGUUUCUUUGCUUGGGGAGGGCGAAGCAAGGUGAUGACAUGCACAAAUUAUUUCGUUUUUGAAUUCACCAUGAAUCCGUUGUGCUCUUGCAAGCAUUUUCUUAAAGGUUUCUCUCUCAAACACGUUGCCUUCCUGAGAAGGUGGAAGUAGUGAUGAUUAAUGAAUUCAAAGGAAACUGGAUGAGCAGUUAACAAAAAUAAACUUGCAAUGGGAAUAGAGCAGAAAAAUGGCAGUGUUGCUGUGCAGAGCAUGGGCAUUGACUUGAAAAACUGAAUGACCUCCUUCCGUGUUGCACUGACUUUGUGGCUCUAUAGUAUCUAGCUGGGAACGGUACUUUCAAACGCUGAGAUAAAUUGAUACUGUUUAAAAAAAUCUAAUAUUGUACUUUUCAUGUAGCAGUACUCUGCAGUAUAAUGGAACAAUAAUUCUUCCAUUUUGAAGUUUUCAGGUUGUGAAAUGGGAACGCUUUAUUGACAAAUGUCACCCGUAAAGGUGUAUUUGGUAUGUCUGUACCUGUAAUCUGAAAUAUAUAUGUGGAAAAUUAAAGAAGUGCCCAGAGAUGAA